GUCAAGUGGGCAAGUGGGUAGAAAAGCACUCAAGUACUUUGUGAUAUUUUGAAGAGUUUUGUGAGCAAUUCCCACACUAAGAACCGACCACUCUCCCUCUCUCAUUCACUCAUCUGAUUUUUGAAGACCUUUCAAAGUGUUCUCUCAAUAUUCAACCUCAAGAACACCAAGGAAAACUUGGAGGCUAAGUCUUGGUCUAGGAAGUAUUUUUCCCUAAGGGUUUUUGAAAGGUUUUGAAGGAGUCAAAGCUUAUAGGAAGGUCCAAACCUUAAGCAAGAACACCAAAGAUGUAAAAAGUUUACUUUUGAUGAUUUUGUUGUAGGGUUUUUAGUUUUAAGCAUUAUUUUGUAUAUCUAAUGCUUAAAGUUUCUUGUUGGUGAUGUAAUAAGGUUAUUGUAGUUGUUUAAUAAUUUUUAUGAUGCA
Humulus lupulus (European hop) is the source of this 423-nucleotide long non-coding RNA. RefSeq lists it as uncharacterized. The record is from RefSeq and is a predicted model, not a curated record. The transcript is spliced from 2 exons. Lineage: Eukaryota; Viridiplantae; Streptophyta; Magnoliopsida; Rosales; Cannabaceae.